CAAAAACAUGUCCUUUUGUUUAUUUUUUAAGGUCUGACCUGCCCACUGAUUUAAUUUAAUGGCCGCAGUAUAUUAACUGUGCAAAGGUAGCAUAAUCAUUAGUCUUUUAAUUGAAGGCUUGCAUGAAUGGUUGGACGAAGCAUAUACUGUAUCUACUAAGUUUUUAUUAGAAGUUUAUUUUUUAGUUAAAAAGCUAAAAUUUUACUGAAAGACGAGAAGACCCUAUAGAUCUUUAUAUUAUUUUUUUUCUAUAUUUAUUUAGGAUAUAUUUAUUUAUAGAUUUUUAUAAUAUUUUAUUGGGGUGAUAUUAAAAUUUAUAAAACUUUUAAUUGUAAAAUUGAACAUUUAUUUAUGGUUAAAUGAUCCGUUAUUAACGAUUAUAAAAUUAAGUUACCUUAGGGAUAACAGCGUAAUCUUUUUGGAGAGUUCUUAUCGAUAAAAAGGUUUGCGACCUCGAUGUUGGACUAAAAUAAGUUUCGGGCGUAGCAGUUCGUAAUGAUAAGUCUGUUCGACUUUUAAUUUUUUACAUGAUCU
RNAcentral lists this ribosomal RNA (534 nucleotides) under Seguyia chinchona. RNAcentral describes it as "partial 16S ribosomal RNA". It matches the Rfam family "Bacterial large subunit ribosomal RNA", at positions 1808 to 2606 of the family's 2925-position model. Lineage: Eukaryota; Metazoa; Arthropoda; Insecta; Diptera; Scenopinidae. The record is from RNAcentral.